UGAGUACGAGAUGCUACGGCAUCGAAGCAGUCUAUGUCAUACUUCCAAGAAAAGCUUGCACUGUCAGAAACAGAUAAUGCCUGUACCAUAACCGACACAGGUGGGUAGGUAGAGUAUACUAAGGGGCGCGAGAUAACUCUCUCUAAGGAACUCGGCAAAAUGACUCCGUAACUUCGGGAGAAGGAGUGCCUUAUUUUUAAGGUUGCAAUAACAAGAUCCAAGCAACUGUUUACCAAAAACACAGGUCUCCGCUAAGUCGUAAGACGAUGUAUGGGGGCUGACGCCUGCCCAGUGCCAGAAGGUUAAAGAAGUCGGUUAGCAUUCGCGAAGCUGGUAACUGAAGCCCUGGUGAACGGCGGCCGUAACUAUAACGGUCCUAAGGUAGCGAAAUUCCUUGUCGGGUAAGUUCCGACCCGCACGAAAGGCGUAAUGAUUUGGAUACUGUCUCGGAGAGGGGCUCGGUGAAAUAGACUUGUCUGUGAAGAUGCGGACUACCUGCACCUGGACAGAAAGACCCUAUGAAGCUUUACUGUAACUUGAAAUUGAAAUUGGACUUUAUUUGCGCAGUAUAGGUGGGAGGCGUUGAAAAUAUUCUUGCGGGAAUAUUGGAGCCAUCAGUGAGAUACCACUCUUGUAAUGUUAGAUUUCUAACUUUAUAUCAUUAUCUGUUUAAAGAACAGUUUCAGGCGGGCAGUUUGACUGGGGCGGUCGCCUCCCAAAUGGUAACGGAGGCGCACAAAGGUUUCCUCUGAACGGGUAGAAAUCGUAUCUAGAGUGUAAAGGCAUAAGGAAGCUUGACUGUGAGACCUACAAGUCGAGCAGGGACGAAAGUCGGUCUUAGUGAUCUGACGGUGCUGAGUGGAAAGGCCGUCACUCAACGGAUAAAAGUUACUCUAGGAUAACAGGCUGAUCUCCCCCAAGGGUUCACAUCGACGGGGAGGUUUGGCACCUCGAUGUCGGCUCAUCGCAUCCUGGGGCGGUAGUACGUCCCAAGGGUUGGGCUGUUCGCCCAUGAAAGCGGUACGCGAGCUGGGUUCAGAACGUCGUGAGACAGUUCGGUCCAUAUCCGGUGUAGGCGUUAGAAUAUUGAGAGGAGCCUUCUUUAGUACGAGAGGACCGAGAAGGACAUACCUCUGGUGUACCAGUUAUCGUGCCAACGGUAAACGCUGGGUAGCUAUGUAUGGAGUGGAUAACCGCUGAAAGCAUCUAAGUGGGAAGCCCACCUCAAGAUAAG
This 1234-nucleotide ribosomal RNA is filed under the name metagenome. RNAcentral describes it as "bacterial LSU rRNA". It matches the Rfam family "Bacterial large subunit ribosomal RNA", at positions 1564 to 2808 of the family's 2925-position model. The record is from RNAcentral.